CCUUGAGUUCAUUCCUAUUCCUGUGCAGAGUUUCCUCCUUGUCCUCUGCAGGUCAGACUUCUCUGUUGCUUGUCCAGGCCCCUGGGAAGGAGCCACGGCAGCCAUGCCUGCGGCUGGGCCUUCGGGGCCACCUCCGUGGACGCUUAGUCGGAGAUCCCUCCUCUCCCGUUUCUCCUGUGGGAGAAGCGCUGGGUUGGCUGUCAGCACACAGCCUGCCCCACGCUCGGUCUUUUUGUGGAGAAGCCCUACUCCUGAUUUGUUUGUUUCCCUUAGUUUGAUGUGUCUCGUGGUGCCUGCCCUCUCCCAGACACGAGGAGAAUACAUUCAGUCACUUAGUCUUGUAACCUUACGGGGAAGCGGAGGCACAGAGAGGUCAAGUAACUUGCCUGCGGCUGUACAGCUGGCAAAUGGGGGAGCCUAGACUGGAAGUCAGGUGGUGGGUCAGGCUCCAGAGCUCACUCUCCAAGCUGCUGCCUUUGAAUGCCUCUCAGGGCGUGAGGGGGCUCCAGGGAGGGGUCUGAGAUGGAGCUUGGACUGAGUCAGGAGCCUGCUGGGUCACAAGCUGGGGAAAGGCUCUGGCGUGGGCAGAGCUGGCCAUGGGCCGUAGGGACAGCAGAGUCCAGCUUGGCUGCAGGAAGUGGGGGGGCGGGCGUGAGAGUAGGGCAGCAGGCUGAGGGGUCUAAGCCGUGGUCUGAACCCACGCCUCCUAAAGUCCCCCUGCUGUGACCUCCCUGGUGGCGCAGCGGUUAAGAAUCCGCCUUCCAACACAGGGGACGUGGGUUCAAUCCCUGGUCCGGGAGGAUCCUCCAUGCCGCAGGGCAACUAAGCCUGAGCGCCAUAACUGCUGAGCCCACACGCCACAAAUAGAGAAGCCUGCGCACUGCAACUAGAGAGCGCUGCGUGCCUCAGUGAAGACCCAGGGCGGCCAAAAGGAAAAAACAAAGCCUCCUGCUACCGCGGAGGAGAUCGUCGGAGGCAGGAAGGAGCAGCGGGGGACCAGUCAGUCCAGAUGAGGCCUGGCCGGAGCCACCAGUUGGCAGGGAGAGUGUCUGAGAUGAUCUGGGGGGCUCACAGCACGGCUGGUGGGCGCAUGAGAGGGGUCAGAGGUGACUUGGGGUGGCUGGGGUCUGCUUGCCAAGGCCAGUCUCAGGGCGGCUUUCCCUCUGGGUCCUUGUUUUUGACAGUUUAGAAGAGGGUCCCUGGUACAUCUGGGCCCUUCCUCAGCCCUUGGGCUCAGCCUGUCCUCGGAGCUGGUUCCUUCUGGCCUGGAGCCCACGUGGUGGGGAGGUUGUCCUCGUUGGGGAGAUGGCCGAGACUGGCGAAACCAGUGUGCACGGUGACCCAGCCUCCGGCAAUGCCUCCCUCCCACCGGUCCCCUUCUGAAGGGGCCACCCAUCUUCAUCCUCUUGCCAGGGUGUUACAGGGGUUUUCUGGGGUUUUUGGACCAGUGAGGAAAGCGAUGCUGGAGAGAGGGUCAGUGCUGGGAGCCGCUUCUCCAGUCCCCUGACGGGAACAGCAGGCUGGGUGGGCUGCUUGGGUGUCUGGUGUUGCGGGUCCACUGUGAAGGGGUCUCUGGGACACCCCCAGGCUCCCACUGGAGCCCCACCCGGCGUCCUGCUCUCUCUGGGUGAUUGACCUUCCCGGGGGCCCGAGCCUUGGCACAAAGUGCCCCAGGCCCCCGCCAGCAGAUGGCGCAGCUGCAGUAACCCAGCUGGCCGUGCCCCUUUCUCAGGAGACACCGGGGGUGGGGCUCCCGCGGCCCCCGCACCCUGGACACCUCCUGGACCUGCUCUUGAACCUGGCUGUGUGGUCACAGGUAAGUGACACGACCCGCGUGGCUUUCCCUGUCCAUACCAUGGUUGGGUGCAGGGACCACGGGUUCCACCAGCUCUGUCAUUCCAUCCCGAGCGCCACACGGUAGGGCUCCCCACCCCCGUGCCUGCCCCGCAGAAACAGCAGGAGCUCGCAGCCCCGACUUCUUCCUCCGGCCAACUGGACGGGCUUCAGAGAAGCUCUUCUGAGCCUGGCUAGGGCCCCGAAGGAGUCAACUCCAGGCAGGUGAUUUGUCUAAGAUCACAAAAAAGGCCUGGGGGAUCUCGACUCAACCCACUUCAUUAACAACCUGCUCCCCUUCAUCUGAAAAGGGGCCCCAUUUUCAAAACCAUGACCGCUUCUCCCUUAAAUCAGCAGCGGACGACAGCCUAAAGAUUGCCCGUAAAUAUACGUUGCCCUGAGGGCUGUUUUGGCCAUUAGAAGAAGGACACCAAGUCAAAGCCUUUCUGCUCUCGAGCGUCCUUGGAGCCGUCAGCAGCGGUGUCCCCCCUCUGAAGCCCCGACACGACUGUGUGGUACCCCUGAACCUCCAUAAUGCCACCUCCUUGAUUUGAAACCUCAGUGCUUCAGCCCCUCCUUGAUGGGAGUCUAAGCUCCCCCUCUGAAGGAAAGGUUUGCUAAGAAAACAGAAUUUUAUGCACAGUCUCGGGAGGUAAGGCGUGGUCUUCACCCUCCACCAGAACCUGCCUGUUCUUAAGGGUUUCCAUGUUGCAUGAUCUGCAGGUUAGAGUUGGGUCACGUCUAGCUUUGAAUAAAGGCCCAGCAAGUUGCCUCUUAGAAAUACCUUGUCACAGCUGACCUUAGGUUCACUAUGGGACUUCUUUAAGAUGGUCUGAUUAAUUCAUGGUGGCCACCCCACGGCCCGUAGCCACCUGAGACAAGAGGAUUUACUGUACCAGUUUAUUGCCAGGCCGUAUCAGCUGAUAAGCAGGAAACUAUAGACCAUCUGUUUAAAAAUAAAAAUAAAAUAAAAAAUUAACAGCGGCACAGCCCUAGAGCAAACACUUUGUACUGCUGCAUAGUAAACGAGCCUGUUGGAUGUAGUGACCUUGGCUGAGGUAGCCACGGGCUUGUCCCUCCGUCCCUGUGUGUCCGGGGCGCUGGGCUGCUCAGAUCUGUGGCCUUCCGGCCCUCAAGCAACACCCUGGAGGGCAGAGCUCCCCGCCCCACAGAGCCCCGGGCAUCACUCCCGUCCUGGCCGCACCAGGCUCCCCCCUCCAGCUCUGGCCACAUUUGCGGGUCUCUAACUCUCUUUAGGCCACAGCGACUGUCCCCAGGCAGGAUGUCCAGCCCCAUCAGCCGAGAGCCCCCACGUUCAGUCGCGUGGACCCAUCGUGGAGGCCGGCCUGUGGGGUGGGCGGGACACAGGAGCGUGGGCCAAGGAGGGCUUCCUGGGGCCGCGAAGGACGGGCCUUUUGCUUGGCUUUGCGGUGAGCUGCCAGCCCCGUUUUGAUUUGCAGCUUUUGUUCGGUACUGCGCGGGGUCUCCUUCGCCUUGGCACUGGCUGGGCGGGGGAGGCGUCAUCACGGCUCUCCUCGGGUCCGCACGCAGGACGACAUCGUUGGCGCGGCCCGCCACUCAAAUCAAGGCAGCAACAGAACCUUCCGAGAAAAGCCUUCAGAAGUGAAAUGUCGAGGCUGCCGUUAUGCGUGAGACGGUGGCAGAGCCGUGAUCCGCUUCUCUUCCUUUCCAGGGUGCCCUGAGGCUGCUGCCGAGCCCACGUUCAAAGGCUGUUUCUUCAAAGUAAACGGUGCUGCCUUCGAACUGGGAGGGGAAGCGGGCGGUUGGGAGGCAGGUUUCCACGUGCGCGUGUUGAACGGCUGGGGCGUGGUCUUUGGUCCAUGAUCGUGUGAGAACUUGGGGUGCGGACAGGGAGGUCCAAGUCCGUCUGGGCCCCGGUGUUGGCAGGGCCGGGAGGGGGCAUCAGGCACAGCCCUGUGGGAAGUGACCGUGAAGGACCCUUCCGGAGGGCCCCCCCCAAUCCUGUUGUGCUUGGUUCAGAGGGUUGGGCGGAGGCUUUCCUGAAGGCUCUAGGAGUGCUGCACCCACAGGCUGUGUGCUCAGGCGGCGGGACGUGGGCCCUCGGACGAGGGAAAGGCCGGCCCGGCCACGUUGUCUGCCUGCUCCCCCCAGGGAGGCCCCAACGCGGUCAGCCGCCCCGUGGUGGCCAGUGGGCAUCGAGAUGCAAGCCCGCCUGUUUUUCCGCUGCUCCAGGCCUCUGGUGUCUCCCCACCGCCUGGAACGCAAAAGCCAUGCCAACCUUGGUCUUGAGCAUCUGCAGCUCCCCAAAGGCCCCCGAUGCUCUUCAGCCUGCACCUGGCCUGUUCCUCCCCUCCUGGGGGUCUUCCUCGCUCUCACCCUGGCUGCCCACCUGGCCUGGUCAGUCCUCCCCACCCUUGGGAAGCCCCCUGACCGUCCAGCCCUCGCUGAGCGUCACAGCCCCUCUCGUCUCGGUUCCUUUGCUGGGUGCUUGUUUGUUGCCCACGCCUCCUACUUCUUCUAGACCGAGCCCCAAGGUGACGGCCAGCUCCGCCACGCGGACUGUUACGCUCUCCAGCUUCUGUCUCCACGCGUGGCACAAAGUAGGUGCCUAAUAAAUUUGUGUAGAACGAA
This is a long non-coding RNA of Lagenorhynchus albirostris (white-beaked dolphin), 4446 nucleotides long. RefSeq lists it as uncharacterized. Lineage: Eukaryota; Metazoa; Chordata; Mammalia; Artiodactyla; Delphinidae. The transcript has 2 exons. The record is from RefSeq and is a predicted model, not a curated record.